RNAcentral lists this ribosomal RNA (276 nucleotides) under Bacillus sp. CM2(Thailand). RNAcentral's name for it is "partial 16S ribosomal RNA". It matches the Rfam family "Bacterial small subunit ribosomal RNA", at positions 95 to 357 of the family's 1533-position model. The record is from RNAcentral. Lineage: Bacteria; Bacillati; Bacillota; Bacilli; Caryophanales; Bacillaceae.
GCGGCGGACGGGUGAGUAACACGUGGGUAACCUGCCUGUAAGACUGGGAUAACUCCGGGAAACCGGGGCUAAUACCGGAUGCUUGAUUGAACCGCAUGGUUCAAUCAUAAAAGGUGGCUUUCAGCUACCACUUGCAGAUGGACCCGCGGCGCAUUAGCUAGUUGGUGAGGUAACGGCUCACCAAGGCGACGAUGCGUAGCCGACCUGAGAGGGUGAUCGGCCACACUGGGACUGAGACACGGCCCAGACUCCUACGGGAGGCAGCAGUGGUCAUAG